GGGGCGUGCUAUACAUGCAAGUCGAGCGGACAGAAGGGAGCUUGCUCCCGGAUGUUAGCGGCGGACGGGUGAGUAACACGUGGGUAACCUGCCUGUAAGACUGGGAUAACUCCGGGAAACCGGAGCUAAUACCGGAUAGUUCCUUGAACCGCAUGGUUCAAGGAUGAAAGACGGUUUCGGCUGUCACUUACAGAUGGACCCGCGGCGCAUUAGCUAGUUGGUGAGGUAACGGCUCACCAAGGCGACGAUGCGUAGCCGACCUGAGAGGGUGAUCGGCCACACUGGGACUGAGACACGGCCCAGACUCCUACGGGAGGCAGCAGUAGGGAAUCUUCCGCAAUGGACGAAAGUCUGACGGAGCAACGCCGCGUGAGUGAUGAAGGUUUUCGGAUCGUAAAGCUCUGUUGUUAGGGAAGAACAAGUGCAAGAGUAACUGCUUGCACCUUGACGGUACCUAACCAGAAAGCCACGGCUAACUACGUGCCAGCAGCCGCGGUAAUACGUAGGUGGCAAGCGUUGUCCGGAAUUAUUGGGCGUAAAGGGCUCGCAGGCGGUUUCUUAAGUCUGAUGUGAAAGCCCCCGGCUCAACCGGGGAGGGUCAUUGGAAACUGGGAAACUUGAGUGCAGAAGAGGAGAGUGGAAUUCCACGUGUAGCGGUGAAAUGCGUAGAGAUGUGGAGGAACACCAGUGGCGAAGGCGACUCUCUGGUCUGUAACUGACGCUGAGGAGCGAAAGCGUGGGGAGCGAACAGGAUUAGAUAC
This 761-nucleotide ribosomal RNA is filed under the name Bacillus pumilus. Its description in RNAcentral is "bacterial SSU rRNA". It matches the Rfam family "Bacterial small subunit ribosomal RNA", at positions 39 to 785 of the family's 1533-position model. Lineage: Bacteria; Bacillati; Bacillota; Bacilli; Caryophanales; Bacillaceae. The record is from RNAcentral.